Molecule: transfer RNA, 66 nt
Filed under: Melogale moschata (Chinese ferret-badger)
Lineage: Eukaryota; Metazoa; Chordata; Mammalia; Carnivora; Mustelidae
Description: tRNA-Pro
Source: RNAcentral
CAGGGAAUAGUUAAAUUAGAAUGCCAGCUUUGGGUGCUGGUGGUGGGGUUAUUGCCUCUUCCUUGA